This 117-nucleotide ribozyme is filed under the name Aedes aegypti (yellow fever mosquito). Its description in RNAcentral is "drz-agam-1 ribozyme". It matches the Rfam family "drz-agam-1 ribozyme". The record is from Rfam by way of RNAcentral. Lineage: Eukaryota; Metazoa; Arthropoda; Insecta; Diptera; Culicidae.
UGCCCAGCAACUCCUAUCCCUACCUCCUCGCGGUACUGGCCGGGGUACGAGUAACCUUAGGGAAGAUCGGGUAACCAACCCCCGGUGGGUACUUUGGUCGUAUGCUGACAGGGAAGG